UACGUAGGGUGCAAGCGUUAAUCGGAAUUACUGGGCGUAAAGCGUGCGCAGGCGGUUGUGCAAGACCGAUGUGAAAUCCCCGGGCUUAACCUGGGAAUGGCAUUGGUGACUGCACGGCUAGAGUGUGUCAGAGGGGGGGUAGAAUUCCACGUGUAGCAGUGAAAUGCGUAGAGAUGUGGAGGAAUACCGAUGGCGAAGGCAGCCCCCUGGGAUAACACUGACGCUCAUGCACGAAAGCGUGGGGAGCAAACAGG
RNAcentral lists this ribosomal RNA (254 nucleotides) under uncultured bacterium. RNAcentral's name for it is "partial 16S ribosomal RNA". It matches the Rfam family "Bacterial small subunit ribosomal RNA", at positions 524 to 776 of the family's 1533-position model. The record is from RNAcentral.